GUGCUUGCUUUGGCAGCAUAUAAACUAAAAUUGAAAUGAUACAGAGAAGAUCACCAUGGCUCUUGUACAAGGAGGACAUGCAAAUUCAUGAAGUGUUCCAUAUUUUA
Spermophilus dauricus (Daurian ground squirrel) is the source of this 107-nucleotide small nuclear RNA. Lineage: Eukaryota; Metazoa; Chordata; Mammalia; Rodentia; Sciuridae. The record is from Ensembl.